GGGGAUCUGGUUUAGGGGUAUAACGUUUCAUUCGCAUCCUUCAAAAGCGUGAAUUGAAAAGGUCUUGGGUUCGAUUCCCAAGUUCUCCA
This is a non-coding RNA of Pyronema omphalodes CBS 100304, 89 nucleotides long. The record is from Rfam. Lineage: Eukaryota; Fungi; Ascomycota; Pezizomycetes; Pezizales; Pyronemataceae.